AAAUAGCCGCUUUUCCCAGCUAGGGUUUCGCAUCUGUUUGUGUUUUCUUCUCUGGAGAAUGCCCAAAAUUCAAGUCCUCCUAGUUUAUGUGCCAUUUUCAUGAUGGUAUGCAGGUGCAACAGGGAGAUUUCAGUUUUCAUCAUCAUUCAAGGAAGGACUGAUCUGACUAUCCAAGCUUGAAAAUUGGAGGACAUUGUUUGAGGGCGAUCACAAAGAAUCCCAGAUCUUCUAUGGGAACAUUAUAUGCAGUCCUGUAUUACUAUACAAUCUGUAGUAAAUGGCUGUUGUUAAUGGAUAAUAUUUGCUGUUUGUGUAAUUAAUCAAAUCUUAUACCAAUUCUUUGAAGUUCUGUUUUUGUUAUGUUUCUACAAUUUCAUUAUUGUUUCUUGUUCAAGUAGGCAUGGUUGUAGCUAUUAAAAUGAAAAUGCAGUCCACAAAUUGUUUGAUGCUCUAAAAAUCUUUUUCUGGAGACCAAAAAUGUUCUUGUCCUAAUAUUGAAGGGCAUAUGAUGAAUCUCAUUAUUAAUGGGUAAUUUGCGCCUGAGUUUUCUUUGAUGCUAAUCACCUUGGAGAACUGAUGCCCUUUAAUGAAAGCCAAUUAAAUUUCUGGCAAAAUCACAUCCAAUCUUAUUAUUUGAGUUUUAUAAUAAUGAUUUUGCUUUGUGCUUCAUGACCCUAAGUAAUUCUUUAGUUAAAUUUACCAUGGUCUCUAUAAAUCCUAUAGAGUCCCAUAAGAUUUGCUGGUAUAUGAGUUUCAUUUUACUAACUAGGAUUACAAGAGAAUGCAGGUUGACAGUGAGGUUCCAGUUUUCAUCAUGCAAGGUAGGACAGUCUGAUUGCCCAAGCUUGAAAACAGGAUGUGGACAUUGUUUGAUGGUUAUCACAAAGAAUUGCAGAGCUUCUAUGGGAACAUUAUCAACUGUCCUGUUUACUAUAUAAUCUGUAGUAGGGCUGUAGAUAAGGUUUAAUAUUUGCAAAUUGUGUAAUCAAUCAAAGUUUGUGUACCAAUUCUCUAGUAAUCUGGUAAAAGUGAUUUUUUUUUGGUAUU
Ipomoea triloba (trilobed morning glory) is the source of this 1047-nucleotide long non-coding RNA. RefSeq lists it as uncharacterized. NCBI's taxonomy places the organism in Eukaryota, Viridiplantae, Streptophyta, Magnoliopsida, Solanales, Convolvulaceae. The record is from RefSeq and is a predicted model, not a curated record. The transcript is spliced from 2 exons.